Molecule: long non-coding RNA, 523 nt
Filed under: Rattus norvegicus (Norway rat)
Lineage: Eukaryota; Metazoa; Chordata; Mammalia; Rodentia; Muridae
Description: long non-coding RNA NONRATT034138
Source: RNAcentral
CGCUCCUCACCUCCUACCUCCACCCCCCACCCCUACUUCACUCCAGCACCACUCGGGGCUGGGAAACCUGCAUUUACGAGAGUGUGAUUCCACAGCGCCUCUGCGGCCGUGGGUUCCUUGCGCCGCACAGCGGUCGGGGACCACUGUGGUUUCUCUUUUGAGGUACCUGCUUUUGCCGAGGCCAGCAGAAGUCCAGCGGCAGUCCUGGUCCUACAAGAAGACCAAGCACGAGCCAGCUCACCAGACAAAAUGCAUGCUGGUGCUGGGGACAAGCAGCUUCUUUUCGAGUGCUCCUGAAGUGGAGGUGCUACCAUUCGCUCCUACCGAGACCAAGAAAUGGAGGUGGAGGCAGUGUCAGCUUGAGCUUUACCAAGCACUUCACGGUACCUUAUCCAAAAGCGACAAUAUAAUUGGUCACAAACAAGGCCUCAACAGAUACAGGAAGAGUGAAAUAUUCCCAUGCAUCCUAGCAGAUAAUCAUGGACUAACGGUAAUCUAUAAAAACAACAAAAACAACAGAAAG